UACGUAGGGUGCAAGCGUUAAUCGGAAUUACUGGGCGUAAAGCGUGCGCAGGCGGUUCGUUAAGUCAGCUGUGAAAGCCCCGGGCUUAACCUGGGAAUGGCGGUUGAAACUGGCGAACUUGAAUCUGGCAGAGGGGGGUGGAAUUCCACGUGUAGCAGUGAAAUGCGUAGAGAUGUGGAGGAACACCGAUGGCGAAGGCAGCCCCCUGGGCUGAGAUUGACGCUCAGGCACGAAAGCGUGGGGAGCAAACAGG
RNAcentral lists this ribosomal RNA (253 nucleotides) under uncultured bacterium. Its description in RNAcentral is "partial 16S ribosomal RNA". It matches the Rfam family "Bacterial small subunit ribosomal RNA", at positions 524 to 776 of the family's 1533-position model. The record is from RNAcentral.